RNAcentral lists this ribosomal RNA (457 nucleotides) under uncultured bacterium. RNAcentral describes it as "bacterial SSU rRNA". It matches the Rfam family "Bacterial small subunit ribosomal RNA", at positions 26 to 507 of the family's 1533-position model. The record is from RNAcentral.
AGGACGAACGCUGGCGGCGUGCCUAACACAUGCAAGUCGAACGGAGUUCCUUUGGGGACUUAGUGGCGGACGGGCGAGUAACGCGUGAGCAACCUGCCCCUCAGUGGGGAAUAACGGCUGGAAACGGUCGCUAAUACCGCAUGACAUCUUCGAGCGGCAUCGCUUGAAGAUCAAAGAUUUAUCGCUGAAGGAUGGGCUCGCGUCCGAUUAGAUAGUUGGUGAGGUAACGGCUCACCAAGUCGACGAUCGGUAGCCGAACUGAGAGGUUGAUCGGCCGCAUUGGGACUGAGACACGGCCCAGACUCCUACGGGAGGCAGCAGUGAGGGAUAUUGCACAAUGGGGGAAACCCUGAUGCAGCAAUGCCGCGUGAGGGAAGACGGUCUUCGGAUUGUAAACCUAAGUUGUCAGGGACGAAAUUUGACGGUACCUGAAGAGAAAGCUCCGGCUAACUACGUG